Molecule: ribosomal RNA, 401 nt
Filed under: uncultured bacterium
Lineage: Bacteria
Description: bacterial SSU rRNA
Rfam family: Bacterial small subunit ribosomal RNA
Source: RNAcentral
UGGGGAAUAUUGGACAAUGGGCGAAAGCCUGAUCCGGCAAUGCCGCGUGUGUGAAGAAGGUCUUCGGAUUGUAAAGCACUUUCGACGGGGACGAUGAUGACGGUACCCGUAGAAGAAGCCCCGGCUAACUUCGUGCCAGCAGCCGCGGUAAUACGAAGGGGGCUAGCGUUGCUCGGAAUGACUGGGCGUAAAGGGCGCGUAGGCGGAUGGCACAGUCAGAUGUGAAAUUCCUGGGCUUAACCUGGGGGCUGCGCUUGAUACUUGGUUGCUUGAGUGGGGAAGAGGGUCGUGGAAUUCCCAGUGUAGAGGUGAAAUUCGUAGAUAUUGUGAAGAACACCGGUGGCGAAGGCGGCGACCUGGUCCUUGACUGACGCUGAGGCGCGAAAGCGUGGGGAGCAAAC